Molecule: ribosomal RNA, 529 nt
Filed under: uncultured bacterium
Lineage: Bacteria
Description: bacterial SSU rRNA
Rfam family: Bacterial small subunit ribosomal RNA
Source: RNAcentral
CUACGUGCCAGCAGCCGCGGUAAUACGUAGGUCCCGAGCGUUGUCCGGAUUUAUUGGGCGUAAAGCGAGCGCAGGCGGUUAGAUAAGUCUGAAGUUAAAGGCCGGGGCUUAACUCCGUGUAUUGCAGUGGGUACGGGCAGACUAGAGUGCAGUAGGGGAGACUGGAAUUCCUGGUGUAGCGGUGGAAUGCGCAGAUAUCAGGAGGAACACCGAUGGCGAAGGCAGGUCUCUGGGCUGUAACUGACGCUGAGAAGCGAAAGCAUGGGGAGCGAACAGGAUUAGAUACCCUGGUAGUCCAUGCCGUAAACGAUGAGUGCUAGGUGUUGGGUCCUUUCCGGGACUCAGUGCCGCAGCUAACGCAUUAAGCACUCCGCCUGGGGAGUACGACCGCAAGGUUGAAACUCAAAGGAAUUGACGGGGGCCCGCACAAGCGGUGGAGCAUGUGGUUUAAUUCGAAGCAACGCGAAGAACCUUACCAGGUCUUGACAUCCCUCUGACCGCUCUAGAGAUAGAGCUUUCCUUCGGGACA